Molecule: small nuclear RNA, 104 nt
Organism: Ictidomys tridecemlineatus (thirteen-lined ground squirrel)
Lineage: Eukaryota; Metazoa; Chordata; Mammalia; Rodentia; Sciuridae
Source: Ensembl
AAAGUACUGUGCUCACAUUAGCCGCACAUAUUGGAGCAAUCCAGAUAUUAGCAUGGUCCCUGCACCAGAAUGACAAGCAAAUUUGUGAAGCAUUCCACAUUUUU